This 254-nucleotide ribosomal RNA is filed under the name uncultured bacterium. RNAcentral describes it as "partial 16S ribosomal RNA". It matches the Rfam family "Bacterial small subunit ribosomal RNA", at positions 524 to 776 of the family's 1533-position model. The record is from RNAcentral.
UACGUAGGGCGCAAGCGUUGUCCGGAAUUAUUGGGCGUAAAGAGCUCGUAGGCGGUUUGUCGCGUCUGCCGUGAAAACCCGAGGCUUAACCUCGUGGCUUGCGGUGGAUACGGGCAGACUAGAGUUCGGCAGGGGAGACUGGAAUUCCUGGUGUAGCGGUGAAAUGCGCAGAUAUCAGGAGGAACACCGGUGGCGAAGGCGGGUCUCUGGGCCGAUACUGACGCUGAGGAGCGAAAGCGUGGGGAGCGAACAGG